Molecule: long non-coding RNA, 287 nt
Organism: Ailuropoda melanoleuca (giant panda)
Lineage: Eukaryota; Metazoa; Chordata; Mammalia; Carnivora; Ursidae
Exons: 3
Source: RefSeq, a predicted model, not a curated record
UUCUGCAUCCUCCGUUAUGGAAUUAGAGACUGAAGUGAAAAUAACCUCUGGGGCAUUGUCAUUCUCAUCUAAAAUUUCUAUUAUAAUUUUACAUUCAGUGGCCAUGCCUCCACCAUCCUUGGCUUCUAUGUUCAUGUGUUUUGAAGGAGUAGGUGAUCUCUGCAUUGAUGCCCUCAUCCUGGUCGACGGCUGUCACCUUUAGCACAGAGGUGCCCAAGGAAUCAUUUGCUGAGGAGAGCGCCUGAAUCUGGGCUUUAUCGCCUUUCAGAAUUGCUUCCGUGACUGCG